Molecule: ribosomal RNA, 486 nt
Filed under: uncultured bacterium
Lineage: Bacteria
Description: partial 16S ribosomal RNA
Rfam family: Bacterial small subunit ribosomal RNA
Source: RNAcentral
AUUGAACGCUGGCGGCAUGCCUUACACAUGCAAGUCGAACGGCAGCACGGGUGCUUGCACCUGGUGGCGAGUGGCGAACGGGUGAGUAAUACAUCGGAACAUGUCCUGUAGUGGGGGAUAGCCCGGCGAAAGCCGGAUUAAUACCGCAUACGAUCUACGGAUGAAAGCGGGGGACCUUCGGGCCUCGCGCUAUAGGGUUGGCCGAUGGCUGAUUAGCUAGUUGGUGGGGUAAAGGCCUACCAAGGCGACGAUCAGUAGCUGGUCUGAGAGGACGACCAGCCACACUGGGACUGAGACACGGCCCAGACUCCUACGGGAGGCAGCAGUGGGGAAUUUUGGACAAUGGGCGAAAGCCUGAUCCAGCAAUGCCGCGUGUGUGAAGAAGGCCUUCGGGUUGUAAAGCACUUUUGUCCGGAAAGAAAUCCUUGGCCCUAAUACGGUCGGGGGAUGACGGUACCGGAAGAAUAAGCACCGGCUAGCUACGUG